AGUGAACGCUGGCGGUAGGCCUAACACAUGCAAGUCGAACGGCAGCACAGGAGAGCUUGCUCUCUAGGUGGCGAGUGGCGGACGGGUGAGGAAUACAUCGGAAUCUGCCCAGUCGUGGGGGAUAACGUAGGGAAACUUACGCUAAUACCGCAUACGACCUUCGGGUGAAAGAGGGGGAUCGCAAGACCUCUCGCGAUUGGAUGAGCCGAUGUCGGAUUAGCUAGUUAGCGUGGUAAUGGCCCACCAAGGCGACGAUCCGCAGCUGGUCUGAGAGGAUGAUCAGCCACACUGGAACUGAGACACGGUCCAGACUCCUACGGGAGGCAGCAGUGGGGAAUAUUGGACAAUGGGCGCAAGCCUGAUCCAGCCAUACCGCGUGGGUGAAGAAGGCCUUCGGGUUGUAAAGCCCUUUUGUUGGGAAAGAAAUCUUUCAGGCUAAUACCCUGGGAGGAUGACGGUACCCAAAGAAUAAGCACCGGCUAACUUCGUG
RNAcentral lists this ribosomal RNA (490 nucleotides) under uncultured bacterium. RNAcentral describes it as "partial 16S ribosomal RNA". It matches the Rfam family "Bacterial small subunit ribosomal RNA", at positions 29 to 507 of the family's 1533-position model. The record is from RNAcentral.